UGUUUUUUGUUUUGGGGCGUUCGGUGGAUGCCUUGGUGCUUGGAGCUGAUGAAGGACGUGGUGGUCUGCGAUAUGCCUUGGGGAGUUGACGAGCGAGCUGUGAUCCAGGGGUUUCCGAAUGGGGUAACCUGACUGGGCUUUGGCCUGGUUACCAGCCUUUGAAUGUAUAGGGGGUUGGGGGGAACGUGGGGAAGUGAAACAUCUUAGUACCUGCUGGAAGAGAUAUUCUGUGAGUAGUGGUGAGCGAAAGUGGAUGAUGGCUAAACUGUGUGCGUGUCAAGGCGGCAGCUGUUGCGCAUGUGGGGUUGUGGGAUAUGUUUUUUGGUUCUUCUGCCGGGGGCCGGGUAGUGAUAAAUGCAAGUGGGGAGCUGAAUAGUUUGGGAUGGCUGACCGUAGUGCGUGAUAGUCGUGUAGGUGGUUCCUGUUUGCCUGCCUUUUAUGUGUCCCGAGUAGCAGUGGGCUCGUGGAAUCUGCUGUGAAUCUGCCCAGACCACUGGGUAAGCCUGAAUACUACCAAGUGUCCGAUAGUGGAUAGUACCGUGAGGGAAUGGUGAAAAGUACCCCGAGAGGGGAGUGAAAUAGUGCCUGAAACCGUGCGCUUUUAAUCCGUCAGAGCCAGUCGACCGUGGGGUUUCCCGUGGUUGUGGUGAUGGCGUGCCUAUUGAAGAAUGAGCCUGCGAGUUAGUGGUGCGUGGCUUGGUUAACCCUUUGUGGGGUAGUCGUAGCGAAAGCGAGUCUUAAUGUUUUUGGGCGUUUGUGGUUGCGUGCUCUAGACCCGAAGCGGGGUGAUCUACCCAUGGCCAGGUUGAAGCGAUUGUAGUAGGUCGUGGAGGACCGUACCCACCUAGGUUGAAAACUGGGGGGAUGAGUUGUGGGUAGGGGUGAAAGGCUAAUCAAACUCCGUGAUAGCUGGUUCUCCCCGAAAUGCAUUUUGGUGCAGCGUUGCGUGGGCCGGGUGGUGGUAGAGCUACUGGUUGGUUGAGGGGCCGUUUGGUUACUGACGUCAGCUAAACUCCGAAUGCCAUUUCUGGUUUUUGCGUGGCAGUGAGACUGUGGGGGAUAAGCUUCAUAGUCGAGAGGGAAACAGCCCAGAUCAUCGGUUAAGGCCCCUAAGGGUGUGCUGAGUGGGAAAGGAUGUGCAGUUGCAUUGACAAUCAGGAGGUUGGCUUAGAAGCAGCUAUCCUUGAAAGAGUGCGUAAUAGCUCACUGGUCGAGUGAUUGUGCGCCGACAAUUUAGCGGGGCUUAAGCACGCCGCCGAAGCCGUGGCAGCAUAAUGGUUUUUUUGUUGUGUUGGGUAGGGGAGCGUCCUGCGUGUGGUGAAGCUGGCACGAAAGUGUUGGUGGAGUGCGUGGGAGUGAGAAUGCAGGCAUGAGUAGCGUUUGACGGGUGGGAAUCCCGUCCGCCGAUUGACUAAGGGUUCCAGGGCUAGGUUUAUCCGCCCUGGGUUAGUCGGGUCCUAAGGCGAGGCCGACAGGCGUAGUUGAUGGAUGACCAGUUGAUAUUCUGGUACCGGUGUUGUUUCGAUCGUGCUGACAAAGUUGUGCUAACCAUCAUCCACAAUGCAGCCGCGCCUCUUUCGGGAGGGUGGUUGUGGGUGGGUUUUGGGGUCCCUUCUUGGGUAGGCAAGCGCGUUAACAGGGGUGACGCAUUGAGGUAGCCUGCGCUGGCCGGUGGUUGUGCCAGUCUAAGGUUGUGGCCUGCUGCCCUGGUAAAUCCGGGUGGCUGCACUGUUGUGCGAGGGUGAGGGCUGAUGGGCCUGCACGCGUUGGCGUGUGGGUGUGGGUGAUCCUGUGGUGUCUAGAAAAGCCUCGGCGUUAGAAGCAAUACUGCCCGUACCCAUAACCGACUCUGGUGGUCAGGUAGAGUAUACCGAGGCGGCGAGUUAAUCAUGGUUAAGGAACUCGGCAAAAUGCCCCCGUAACUUUGGGAUAAGGGGGGCCAAACCCGGACGCUGAUUGUACUUUUAGUGGUUUGGGUUUGGUCGCAGUGAUUUGGCAGAAGCGACUGUUUAUCAAAAACAUAGGUGUGUGCGAAGCCGUAAGGCGAUGUAUACGCACUGACGCCUGCCCGGUGCUGGAAGGUUAAGCGGAAGGCUUAGCCACCCUGUUGGGUGGCGAGGGUUUGAAGUUAAGCCCCAGUAAACGGCGGUGGUAACUAUAACCAUCCUAAGGUAGCGAAAUUCCUUGUCGGGUAAGUUCCGACCUGCACGAAUGGCGUAACGACUUCUGCGCUGUCUCGACCAUGAACUCGGUGAAAUUGCAGUACGAGUAAAGAUGCUCGUUUCGCGCAGCAGGACGGAAAGACCCCGGGACCUUUACUAUAGCUUGGUAUUGGUGGUUGGGUGUGUUUGUGUAGGAUAGGUGGGAGACUUUGAAGCGCUCAUGCUAGUGGGUGUGGAGUCGUUGUUGAAAUACCACUCUGAUACUUCUGAUUGUCUAACUUUCGCCCGUGAUCCGGGUGGGGGACAGUGCCUGGUGGGUAGUUUAACUGGGGCGGUUGCCUCCUAAAUGGUAACGGAGGCGCUCAAUGGUCUUCUCAGCCUGGUUGGUAAUCAGGUGUUGAGUGUAAGUGUAGAAGAAGGCUUGACUGUGACACUGACGGGUGGAGCAGGUACGAAAGUAGGAACUAGUGAUCCGGCAGUUGCUUGUGGAAGCGCUGUCGCUCAACGGAUAAAAGGUACCCCGGGGAUAACAGGCUGAUCUUGCCCAAGAGUUCAUAUCGACGGCAUGGUUUGGCACCUCGAUGUCGGCUCGUCGCAUCCUGGGGCUGGAGUUGGUCCCAAGGGUUGGGCUGUUCGCCCAUUAAAGCGGUACGCGAGCUGGGUUCAGAACGUCGUGAGACAGUUCGGUCCCUAUCCGCUGCGCGCGUUUGGAAACUUGUGAAGGCCUGUCCCUAGUACGAGAGGACCGGGACGGACGAACCUCUGGUGUGCCAGUUGUACUGCCAGGUGCAUGGCUGGUUGGCUACGUUCGGUAAUGGAUAACCGCUGAAAGCAUCUAAGCGGGAAGCCGGCUUCGAGAUAAGGUUUCCCUCCCACACCUUGGUGUGGGGUGAGACUCCCAGUAGAUGACUGGGUUGAUAGGCCAGGUGUGUAAGCCUUGUGAGGGGUUUAGCUUACUGGUACUAAUAGUCAAACAGGAAAAACAAG
RNAcentral lists this ribosomal RNA (3149 nucleotides) under Gleimia hominis. Its description in RNAcentral is "23S ribosomal RNA". It matches the Rfam family "Bacterial large subunit ribosomal RNA". The record is from RNAcentral. Lineage: Bacteria; Bacillati; Actinomycetota; Actinomycetes; Actinomycetales; Actinomycetaceae.